This 153-nucleotide ribosomal RNA is filed under the name uncultured bacterium. Its description in RNAcentral is "partial 16S ribosomal RNA". It matches the Rfam family "Bacterial small subunit ribosomal RNA", at positions 368 to 512 of the family's 1533-position model. The record is from RNAcentral.
ACAAUGGGGCGCAAGCCUGAUCCAGCCAUGCCGCGUGUGUGAAGAAGGCCUUCGGGUUGUAAAGCACUUUUGUUCGGGAAGAAAUCGUGCGAAUUAAUACUUUGUACGGAUGACGGUACCGAAAGAAUAAGCACCGGCUAACUUCGUGCCACC